Molecule: long non-coding RNA, 392 nt
Filed under: Mytilus galloprovincialis (Mediterranean mussel)
Lineage: Eukaryota; Metazoa; Mollusca; Bivalvia; Mytilida; Mytilidae
Source: RNAcentral
GUUUUGGGCGUAAUUCAAAUUUGCUUAGUUGAGCUAUUUCCAACUGAUUUUUUUCCCUAUAUUGUGCUGUUACACCAGAGUGUUGAGUGCUGAUAAUCGCGUUUAAUCAAAACAAAUUCUGUAUUGGCUUUCCCAAGUCAGGAGCUUUCAAUUCAGUGGGUGUCGUUGGUUACUUUCUGUAAUUUUUUGAUUAUUUUUACUCUUGUAAAAAUAUUUAUUUUCGUUUGAACUUUUUCAUUUUCCUAAGUCAAUGCCUUAUAUACUAGUAUCUGAUUAUAUGAGUAUUUGCUUAUCGUUGACAAUACCACGAGCCACUGUAGUCGUUGUUCACGUCAUUUGGACUCUGUUUGAUAGUUUGACGCUCCGCACGGUACCAGGUAUGUACAUGUCAG